AGAGAAGUUCAACCGUUCAAAUGUUCCACACUGGAGUUCCUCUCAUGUCUUUAUUGGUGAUACUGUACAACAACUACACGUUAACCCAAGGACAAAAAAAGACAACUCAUAGAUACUUCAAUAAUACAUUAAACAAUAAGAAAUGCAAUAUUGUGGGUGACUGGUGUGUCGUAUUGGCAAUAAGGUAAAUACAUGAAGCUGUUUGGACAGGAUUUAGAUGCAUAUGUCCACAUAGAAGUAACUGUACUAGAAUCACGGCAGAGUAACCUGUCAAUCACAGUAAACACAUCCUGGUGUUGUUGACGCUAAUAGAGCAUCAUAUGAUCAACCAGAGAUUGAGUCCACCAUGUUUACGUCAUGGACUUAGAGGAAGGCGGGGAGACGUGUCCAUGAGAGGCAGGAGGGCCGCAUGGCGUCAGAAGGCACACCUGCUCUACCGUAUGGGGUCUAGUGUAUGGGGUCUACCCUAUGGGGUCUACUCUAUGGGGUCUACUGUAUGGGGUCUACUGUAUGGGGUCUUCUGUAUGGGGUCUACUGUAUGGGGUCUACUGUAUGGGGUCUACUGUAUGAGGUCUACUGUAUGGGGUCUACUGUAUGGGGUCUACUGUAUGAGGUCUACUGUAUGAGGUCUACUGUAUGGGGUCUACUGUAUGGGGUCUACUGUAUGAGGUCUACUGUAUGGGACCUUUGAGGAGAGAGACAGAGGCAGCACCUGCUGUGGAGCAGCAGUGAGUCUCUCCUGAGAACAUGAGAUGAAUGAUAAUAAUCUGCAUUAACUUUCUUGCUAAAUACAGAUGACAAACACGUAGAGCUUCUUGUACGACAGAUAGACUUCAGAACAUGUUUAUGAAACAGGCUAUUCAGCAAGGCAAAGCUAGCCAUGGUUCAUUGGACAACUACAAGACUUUGCCCAAAUUACAUGGCACAAGCCAGGCCGGUUGCCAGGCGGGCAGCUGGCAUCAGCUGCGUCAUUGUCUUUGAUCGCGGCGAGAGGAGAAGGCUCAUUCUUCUACGUCCUCUCAGCCUUCAGCUCACACGUCCGCGUCGACACCGCCAAGGAAAGAAAGUGGGGCACAAACAAGGGGGACAGUUUGGCUGGAAACGGCCGCGCCACGUCCAUCGGCUCAUGAGACGAGGGACUUCCUGAGGGGACGAUUCCGGCCACACUAUGACGUCAUGUGCACACCACCUUUUAUAAUUCCACCAUGUUUCAUGCUAACGCUAGACCCGAUCCAGGGGGGCCACGUGUCACUCAAAUGAGACAAUAACAUCACACCCGGACGUAUUAAAGUGUCAAUAUGUCACACAGACACACCUCUCGUGCUCAGUGUGACGCAUUCAUGAGGAGGUUCUUUCCAGGGAACUGAUAACAUCAAAUAAUAACAGUCCAGGAGACACAAGCCGACGGUUCAACCCGCGUGACUCAUUUUCGCUUUCAGCUUGUGCGUUUUAACUCCGGCUCGCUUUUGUCUGCGCAACGACAAGCAUAACAGGCCGCACCAAAAACCCAUUCGCCAAAAUGAAACGAGAAAAACGGGCUGAAGCAUGCGCCAGCGAUACGGAAAACAGAGACAUGUAAAGACGUGCGGGGCUGCGUUAGCUAACCAGCUGCAGCU
Long non-coding RNA from Gasterosteus aculeatus aculeatus (three-spined stickleback), 1616 nucleotides. NCBI's taxonomy places the organism in Eukaryota, Metazoa, Chordata, Actinopteri, Perciformes, Gasterosteidae. The record is from Ensembl.